AUACGUAGGUGGCAAGCGUUGUCCGGAAUUACUGGGUGUAAAGGGAGCGCAGGCGGGAAUGCAAGUUGGAUGUGAAAUACCGAGGCUUAACCUCGGGGCUGCAUCCAAAACUGUGUUUCUUGAGUGAGGUAGAGGAAGGCGGAAUUCCGAGUGUAGCGGUGGAAUGCGUAGAUAUUCGGAGGAACACCAGUGGCGAAGGCGGCCUACUGGGCUUUAACUGACGCUGAGGCUCGAAAGUGUGGGGAGCAAACAGGAUUAGAUACCCUGGUAGUCCACACUGUAAACGAUGAUUACUAGGUGUGGGGGGUCUGACCCCCUCUGUGCCGCAGUUAACGCAAUAAGUAAUCCACCUGGGGAGUACGAUCGCAAGGUUGA
This 375-nucleotide ribosomal RNA is filed under the name uncultured bacterium. Its description in RNAcentral is "bacterial SSU rRNA". It matches the Rfam family "Bacterial small subunit ribosomal RNA", at positions 523 to 897 of the family's 1533-position model. The record is from RNAcentral.